Molecule: unclassified non-coding RNA, 391 nt
Filed under: soil metagenome
Description: partial contains 5.8S ribosomal RNA, internal transcribed spacer 2, and large subunit ribosomal RNA
Rfam family: 5.8S ribosomal RNA (bases 1-122)
Source: RNAcentral
GAUGAAGAACGUAGCGAAAUGCGAUACUUGGUGUGAAUUGCAGAAUCCCGUGAACCAUCGAGUCUUUGAACGCAAGUUGCGCCCGAAGCCAUUAGGCCGAGGGCACGCCUGCCUGGGCGUCACACGUCGUUGCCCCCCCAUCUACUCCUUCGGGAUUGCGGGGGGCGGAUGAUGGCCUCUCGUGCGCCUCGUCGCACGGUUGGCCUAAAUGCCAAGUCCUCGGCGACGCACGCCACGACAAUCGGUGGUUGCGAAACCUCGGUUGCCUGUCGUGUGCGGUCGUCGCGCAUCGAGGGCUCGAAAAAAUUGCCGGGCUUCGGCUCGACUUUCAACGCGACCCCAGGUCAGGCGGGGUUACCCGCUGAAUUUAAGCAUAUCAAUAAGCGGAGGA